GAUGAACGCUAGCUACAGGCUUAACACAUGCAAGUCGAGGGGAAACGACAUCGAAAGCUUGCUUUUGAUGGGCGUCGACCGGCGCACGGGUGAGUAACGCGUAUCCAACCUGCCCAUCACUUGGGAAUAACCUUGCGAAAGUAAGACUAAUGCCCAAUGAUAUCCCACGAAGGCAUCCGAAUGGGAUUAAAGAUUUAUCGGUGAUGAAUGGGGAUGCGUCUGAUUAGCUUGUUGGCGGGGUAACGGCCCACCAAGGCGACGAUCAGUAGGGGUUCUGAGAGGAAGGUCCCCCACAUUGGAACUGAGACACGGUUCAAACUCCUACGGGAGGCAGCAGUGAGGAAUAUUGGUCAAUGGGCGAGAGCCUGAACCAGCCAAGUAGCGUGCAGGAUGACGGCCCUAUGGGUUGUAAACUGCUUUUAUAAGGGAAUAAAGUGAGUCUCGUGAGACUUUUUGCAUGUACCUUAUGAAUAAGGACCGGCUAAUUCCGUGCCAGCCGCCGCCGUAA
RNAcentral lists this ribosomal RNA (508 nucleotides) under uncultured bacterium. RNAcentral's name for it is "partial 16S ribosomal RNA". It matches the Rfam family "Bacterial small subunit ribosomal RNA", at positions 28 to 523 of the family's 1533-position model. The record is from RNAcentral.